GACGAACGCUGGCGGCGUGCCUAAUACAUGCAAGUUGAGCGCUGAAGGUUGGUACUUGUACCAACUGGAUGAGCAGCGAACGGGUGAGUAACGCGUGGGGAAUCUGCCUUUGAGCGGGGGACAACAUUUGGAAACGAAUGCUAAUACCGCAUAAAAACUUUAAACACAAGUUUUAAGUUUGAAAGAUGCAAUUGCAUCACUCAAAGAUGAUCCCGCGUUGUAUUAGCUAGUUGGUGAGGUAAAGGCUCACCAAGGCGAUGAUACAUAGCCGACCUGGGAGGGUGGUCGGCCACAUUGGGACUGAGACACGGCCCAAACUCCUACGGGAGGCAGCAGUAGGGAAUCUUCGGCAAUAGACGAAAGUCUGACCGAGCAACGCCGCGUGAGUGAAGAAGGUUUUCGGAUCGUAAAACUCUGUUGGUAGUGAAGAACGUUGGUGAGAGUGGAAAGCUCAUCAAGUGACGGUAACUACCCAGAAAGGGACGGCUAACUACGUG
This 497-nucleotide ribosomal RNA is filed under the name uncultured bacterium. RNAcentral describes it as "partial 16S ribosomal RNA". It matches the Rfam family "Bacterial small subunit ribosomal RNA", at positions 28 to 507 of the family's 1533-position model. The record is from RNAcentral.